UACAAAAUGCCUGAUAAAAGGACUAUCUUGAUGAGAUAGAAAUAGUAGACAGUCUACUUUUUGUAA
RNAcentral lists this transfer RNA (66 nucleotides) under Plegadiphilus threskiornis. RNAcentral describes it as "tRNA-Ile". The record is from RNAcentral. Lineage: Eukaryota; Metazoa; Arthropoda; Insecta; Psocodea; Menoponidae.